UGGGGAAUUUUGCGCAAUGGGCGAAAGCCUGACGCAGCAACGCCGCGUGCGGGAUGAAGGCUCUCGGGUCGUAAACCGCUUUCAGCAGGGAUGAAAUUGACAGUACCUGCAGAAGAAGCCCCGGCUAAAUACGUGCCAGCAGCCGCGGUAAUACGUAUGGGGCAAGCGUUAUCCGGAUUCAUUGGGCGUAAAGAGCGCGUAGGCGGAUUGUUAAGUCAGAUGUGAAAACUGGGGGCUCAACCCGCAGCCUGCAUCUGAAACUGGCAGUCUUGAGUCUGGUAGAGGAGUGUGGAAUUCCCAGUGUAGCGGUGAAAUGCGCAGAUAUUGGGAGGAACACCAGUGGCGAAGGCGGCACUCUGGGCCACGACUGACGCUGAGGCGCGAAAGCUAGGGGAGCAAACAGG
Molecule: ribosomal RNA, 404 nt
Filed under: uncultured bacterium
Lineage: Bacteria
Description: bacterial SSU rRNA
Rfam family: Bacterial small subunit ribosomal RNA
Source: RNAcentral